AGUCGACAUCAACUUUUGUUUUGCAGCCGAUUUGGCUUUCUCAGCAAUUUCCUUGGAAAGUGUAGGCAGAGUUGUCGGAUCGGGAGUUGGCUGUGUUGGAAUAUGCCGCUCUACCAAUGCAGUUGGGGACCUUGCUGUCUCCACAGAGGCUGCAGGAGGAUUCAUGGCUGUUUGCCAAAGUUGAACGAAGAUAAAGGCGAAUGGAGAGCUCUUCAUGAGAUGAAACCUCAGCUACGGCAAAAAGGAACUGAGAUAAUCGCCAGGACGGGCGGACCACGUGUACUGGGGGGGGGGCGGUCUUGAUGAAUGCAUGAUAAAGCUCUAGAAUAUUCUGGAAAUCUCUGCGCAACUGCAGAAUAAACCCUAUGUGUAGUUCA
Non-coding RNA from Pogona vitticeps (central bearded dragon), 377 nucleotides. NCBI's taxonomy places the organism in Eukaryota, Metazoa, Chordata, Lepidosauria, Squamata, Agamidae. The record is from RefSeq and is a predicted model, not a curated record.